Molecule: ribosomal RNA, 253 nt
Filed under: uncultured bacterium
Lineage: Bacteria
Description: partial 16S ribosomal RNA
Rfam family: Bacterial small subunit ribosomal RNA
Source: RNAcentral
UACGUAGGAGGCGAGCGUUGUCCGGAAUCACUGGGCGUAAAGGGCGCGUAGGUGGCGACCCAAGUCGAUGGUGAAAGCUCGCCGCUCAACGGCGAGUCGGCCACCGAUACUGGGUUGCUGGAGCACUGUAGAGGCUCAUGGAAUUCCGGGUGUAGCGGUGGAAUGCGUAGAUAUUCGCAAGAACACCAGUGGCGAAGGCGGCUCACUGGCCCGGUACUGACGCUGAGGUGCGAAAGCGUGGGGAGCAAACAGG